AGGAGACAGGUUAGGUGUACCCUACUGAUGAUGUGUUGUUGCAAUAGUAAUCCUGCUCAGUACGAGAGGAACCGCAGGUUCAGACAUUUGGUGUAUGUGCUUGGCUGAGGAGCCAAUGGUGCGAAGCUACCAUCUGUGGGAUUAUGACUGAAUGCCAUGAAGUCAGA
Long non-coding RNA from Oncorhynchus gorbuscha (pink salmon), 167 nucleotides. RefSeq lists it as uncharacterized. The record is from RefSeq and is a predicted model, not a curated record. The transcript has 3 exons. Lineage: Eukaryota; Metazoa; Chordata; Actinopteri; Salmoniformes; Salmonidae.